CACGGUUUUCACCACGCUCAACUAGUUUGUUCUCUCCCUGAAAGAAGGCAGUGAAGUGCACCAAAGACACGAGGUCCACUUGGAGUUUUACGGAUGGGCGGGACUUACCAGGAUAAAAACAUUUCCUUCGAGCCGGAUUCGAACCAGCGACCUAAGGAUGGCAGCAAACCUCUACAGUCCUCCGCUCUACCAACUGAGCUAUCGAAGGCGUUGAAAACUACGUUGGUCCCCGAUCGCAGAUUACAUUCACUCUUACAUACAAAUCGAACAAUUUUUUGACAUACCAGUCUGCUUUCUUCAAGCUGUCUAUUUUCGCUCCCCUGGCAAUGAGAUACCGCACACACUCACAAUGACCCAUGGAAGAAGCCUCAUGCAAAGCUCUCUUGUAGUCGCUGUUGUACACAUCAAUGUCCAUGCUGAGCUCCUCUAC
Pimephales promelas (fathead minnow) is the source of this 430-nucleotide non-coding RNA. The record is from RefSeq and is a predicted model, not a curated record. Lineage: Eukaryota; Metazoa; Chordata; Actinopteri; Cypriniformes; Leuciscidae.